RNAcentral lists this long non-coding RNA (580 nucleotides) under Sarcophilus harrisii (Tasmanian devil). Its description in RNAcentral is "lncRNA (ENSSHAG00000029134.1)". The record is from RNAcentral. Lineage: Eukaryota; Metazoa; Chordata; Mammalia; Dasyuromorphia; Dasyuridae.
CACUUUCCUAGGAUAUAAAAAAAGCUCUGAUCUAUACUGGGAGCAGGCAGAGGAAGAUAGGAGAUCCAAAGGUUGGCUCGGGCAGAGUUUAGGAGAGAGGAGAGACGACGUUUCCUUAGCCUCACUUCCAGCCCCCCUGCUUGCUACCCACAGAGAGCAGAGAAGGAAGGCUCCCUCCUUCUCCCCUAACUUGACUGCAAGCUGAGACUGGUCUCCGGAACUGAAGUCCAGCCAGGAACUCAUCCCCCGGGAGUCUCUGUGCUUGCCGCUGUGUUCCCUUGCUACCCAUUGCUAGGCGUCACGCCUCGUGGGGGAGUCUUCUCGAGCAGGAUUAAAAGACAGAGAAGAAGAAAACAUUGUAACCUUAACUGGAAACGAACAAUUUGCUCUACUGGGUUUCUAAUUACUAGUAGCAAAGCAUAAUGGCUGCAAAUCUGCUUCCUGGAGAGUUUGGAAGUUCUGCUUAUAGAUUUGAAGGUCGUCUUUGUCCUAUAAAGAAGGGGACGUGAUGGGCGCUUUUCUUGAUAAAUAAAGUAAUCCAGGGACCAGAGCUUCAUGGUGCUAUUUUCCGUGUUCUGUA